GGACGCCAGUCUGCAUGGAGCCGACCUUGAAAUACCACCCUUUAAUGUUUGAUGUUCUAACGUGGACCCGUGAUCCGGGUUGCGGACAGUGUCUGGUGGGUAGUUUGACUGGGGCGGUCUCCUCCUAAAGAGUAACGGAGGAGCACGAAGGUUGGCUAAUCCUGGUCGGACAUCAGGAGGUUAGUGCAAUGGCAUAAGCCAGCUUGACUGCGAGCGUGACGGCGCGAGCAGGUGCGAAAGCAGGUCAUAGUGAUCCGGUGGUUCUGAAUGGAAGGGCCAUCGCUCAACGGAUAAAAGGUACUCCGGGGAUAACAGGCUGAUACCGCCCAAGAGUUCAUAUCGACGGCGGUGUUUGGCACCUCGAUGUCGGCUCAUCACAUCCUGGGGCUGAAGUAGGUCCCAAGGGUAUGGCUGUUCGCCAUUUAAAGUGGUACGCGAGCUGGGUUUAGAACGUCGUGAGACAGUUCGGUCCCUAUCUGCCGUGGGCGCUGGAGAACUGAGGGGGGCUGCUCCUAGUACGAGAGGACCGGAGUGGACGCAUCACUGGUGUUCGGGUUGUCAUGCCAAUGGCACUGCCCGGUAGCUAAAUGCGGAAGAGAUAAGUGCUGAAAGCAUCUAAGCACGAAACUUGCCCCGAGAUGAGUUCUCCCUGAGACUUAAAGUCUC
This 666-nucleotide ribosomal RNA is filed under the name Salmonella enterica subsp. enterica serovar Newport. Its description in RNAcentral is "partial 23S ribosomal RNA". It matches the Rfam family "Bacterial large subunit ribosomal RNA", at positions 2166 to 2827 of the family's 2925-position model. The record is from RNAcentral. Lineage: Bacteria; Pseudomonadati; Pseudomonadota; Gammaproteobacteria; Enterobacterales; Enterobacteriaceae.